Molecule: non-coding RNA, 147 nt
Filed under: Nomascus leucogenys (northern white-cheeked gibbon)
Lineage: Eukaryota; Metazoa; Chordata; Mammalia; Primates; Hylobatidae
Source: Rfam by way of RNAcentral
GCUGGGCGUGGUGGUGCACGCCUGUAAUCUCAGCUACUCAGGAGGCUGAGGCAGGAGAAUUACUUGAACCCAGGAAGCAGAGGGUGCAGUGAGCUGAGAUCACGCCACUGCACCCCAGCCUGGUGACAGAGUGAGACUCUGUCUCAA